This 261-nucleotide ribosomal RNA is filed under the name uncultured prokaryote. Its description in RNAcentral is "partial 16S ribosomal RNA". It matches the Rfam family "Bacterial small subunit ribosomal RNA", at positions 524 to 784 of the family's 1533-position model. The record is from RNAcentral.
UACGUAGGUGGCAAGCGUUGUCCGGAUUUAUUGGGCGUAAAGCGAGCGCAGGCGGUUCCUUAAGUCUGAUGUGAAAGCCCACGGCUCAACCGUGGAAGGUCAUUGGAAACUGGGGAACUUGAGUGCAGAAGAGGAGAGUGGAAUUCCAUGUGUAGCGGUGAAAUGCGUAGAUAUGUGGAGGAACACCAGUGGCGAAGGCGGCUUCCUGGUCUGUAACUGACACUGAGGCGCGAAAGCGUGGGGAGCAAACAGGAUUAGAUA